RNAcentral lists this ribosomal RNA (304 nucleotides) under uncultured bacterium. RNAcentral describes it as "partial 16S ribosomal RNA". It matches the Rfam family "Bacterial small subunit ribosomal RNA", at positions 509 to 807 of the family's 1533-position model. The record is from RNAcentral.
CAGCAGCCGCCACGGGAAUACGUAGGGUGCAAGCGUUAAUCGGAAUUACUGGGCGUAAAGCGUGCGCAGGCGGUUAUAUAAGACAGAUGUGAAAUCCCCGGGCUCAACCUGGGAACUGCAUUUGUGACUGUAUAGCUAGAGUACGGCAGAGGGGGAUGGAAUUCCGCGUGUAGCAGUGAAAUGCGUAGAUAUGCGGAGGAACACCGAUGGCGAAGGCAAUCCCCUGGGCCUGUACUGACGCUCAUGCACGAAAGCGUGGGGAGCAAACAGGAUUAGAGACCCGGGUAGUCCCUGUCUCUUAUAC